Molecule: ribosomal RNA, 949 nt
Filed under: uncultured Pseudomonas sp.
Lineage: Bacteria; Pseudomonadati; Pseudomonadota; Gammaproteobacteria; Pseudomonadales; Pseudomonadaceae
Description: bacterial SSU rRNA
Rfam family: Bacterial small subunit ribosomal RNA
Source: RNAcentral
AGGGUUUGAUUAUGGCUCAGAUUGAACGCUGGCGGCAGGCCUAACACAUGCAAGUCGAGCGGUAGAGAGGUGCUUGCACCUCUUGAGAGCGGCGGACGGGUGAGUAAUGCCUAGGAAUCUGCCUGGUAGUGGGGGAUAACGCUCGGAAACGGACGCUAAUACCGCAUACGUCCUACGGGAGAAAGCAGGGGACCUUCGGGCCUUGCGCUAUCAGAUGAGCCUAGGUCGGAUUAGCUAGUUGGUGGGGUAAUGGCUCACCAAGGCGACGAUCCGUAACUGGUCUGAGAGGAUGAUCAGUCACACUGGAACUGAGACACGGUCCAGACUCCUACGGGAGGCAGCAGUGGGGAAUAUUGGACAAUGGGCGAAAGCCUGAUCCAGCCAUGCCGCGUGUGUGAAGAAGGUCUUCGGAUUGUAAAGCACUUUAAGUUGGGAGGAAGGGCAUUAACCUAAUACGUUAGUGUUUUGACGUUACCGACAGAAUAAGCACCGGCUAACUCUGUGCCAGCAGCCGCGGUAAUACAGAGGGUGCAAGCGUUAAUCGGAAUUACUGGGCGUAAAGCGCGCGUAGGUGGUUCGUUAAGUUGGAUGUGAAAUCCCCGGGCUCAACCUGGGAACUGCAUUCAAAACUGUCGAGCUAGAGUAUGGUAGAGGGUGGUGGAAUUUCCUGUGUAGCGGUGAAAUGCGUAGAUAUAGGAAGGAACACCAGUGGCGAAGGCGACCACCUGGACUGAUACUGACACUGAGGUGCGAAAGCGUGGGGAGCAAACAGGAUUAGAUACCCUGGUAGUCCACGCCGUAAACGAUGUCAACUAGCCGUUGGGAGCCUUGAGCUCUUAGUGGCGCAGCUAACGCAUUAAGUUGACCGCCUGGGGAGUACGGCCGCAAGGUUAAAACUCAAAUGAAUUGACGGGGGCCCGCACAAGCGGUGGAGCAUGCGGUUUAAUUC